GAGCUGUGAAGAAAACGGUUAAGCGAUGGUUGGGUCCAUCGCAUUCAUCUGAAUUCCAGAUGGGAUAAGCCACAUACCGAGCUC
RNAcentral lists this small nucleolar RNA (84 nucleotides) under Brassica oleracea var. oleracea. RNAcentral describes it as "small nucleolar RNA snoR114". It matches the Rfam family "small nucleolar RNA snoR114". Lineage: Eukaryota; Viridiplantae; Streptophyta; Magnoliopsida; Brassicales; Brassicaceae. The record is from Rfam by way of RNAcentral.